UAGGGAAUCUUCCACAAUGGACGCAAGUCUGAUGGAGCAACGCCGCGUGAGUGAAGAAGGUUUUCGGACCGUAAAGCUCUGUUGUUGGUGAAGAAGGAUAGAGGUAGUAACUGGCCUUUAUUUGACGGUAAUCAACCAGAAAGUCACGGCUAACUACGUGCCAGCAGCCGCGGUAAUACGUAGGUGGCAAGCGUUGUCCGGAUUUAUUGGGCGUAAAGCGAGCGCAGGCGGAAGAAUAAGUCUGAUGUGAAAGCCCUCGGCUUAACCGAGGAAUUGCAUCGGAAACUGUUUUUCUUGAGUGCAGAAGAGGAGAGUAGAACUCCAUGUGUAGCGGUGGAAUGCGUAGAUAUAUGGAAGAAUACCAGUGGCGAAGGCGGCUCUCUGGUCUGCAACUGACGCUGAGGCUCGAAAGCAUGGGUAGCGAACAGGAUUAGAUACCCUGGUAGUCCAUGCCGUAAACGAUGAGUGCUAAGUGUUGGGAGGCUUCCGCCUCUCAGUGCUGCAGCUAACGCAUUAAGCACUCCGCCUGGGGGAGUACGACCGCAAG
This 547-nucleotide ribosomal RNA is filed under the name uncultured bacterium. RNAcentral describes it as "partial 16S ribosomal RNA". It matches the Rfam family "Bacterial small subunit ribosomal RNA", at positions 355 to 892 of the family's 1533-position model. The record is from RNAcentral.